AGAAUCAACGCUGGCGGCGUGCCUAACACAUGCAAGUCGAACGAGAAAGUGGGGCAAUCCAUGAGUAAAGUGGCGCACGGGUGAGUAACACGUGACUAACCUACCCUUGAGUGGGGGAUAACCUAGAGAAAUCUGGGCUAAUACCGCAUAAUACCUUCGGGUCAAAGGAGCAAUUCGCUUAAGGAGGGGGUCGCGGCCGAUUAGUUAGUUGGCGGGGUAAUGGCCCACCAAGACUGUGAUCGGUAUCCGGCCUGAGAGGGCGCACGGACACACUGGAACUGAAACACGGUCCAGACUCCUACGGGAGGCAGCAGUGGGGAAUUUUGCGCAAUGGGGGAAACCCUGACGCAGCAACGCCGCGUGGAGGAUGAAGCCCCUUGGGGCGUAAACUCCUUUCGAUCGGGAAGAUAAUGACGGUACCGAGAGAAGAAGCCCCGGCUAACUUCGCGCCAGCAGCCGC
This 460-nucleotide ribosomal RNA is filed under the name uncultured bacterium. RNAcentral's name for it is "SSU rRNA". It matches the Rfam family "Bacterial small subunit ribosomal RNA", at positions 26 to 518 of the family's 1533-position model. The record is from RNAcentral.